AAAUGUGAUCUUUGAAGACUGAUGUGGAGUAGGGUUCCAUGUGAACAUUGAUUGGCCAUGGGUUAGCCAAGCACCAGCCUUUGGCGCGUGAUAGGGCUUUGGCCUCCCUGCGAAAGGGAUCACAAUAUUCCCGAGCCGGGUCGUGGAUACUGGGUGGCAACACAAGUGAACUUCCCGCAUGAGUGAGCCCCGGAAGCGUUUCUUUGCUUCCUUAACGUUUGCUGUCUCCGUGGAAUCGUUUGCGCGGCGAUACGGUGCCCGCAUAGCUGUCCGGCUUUCGGUCUGUCCAGUGCGCUCACGACGCCCUUGAAACGGGAAGGGAACGUUUUAUUCGCACCCCGUCCGUACCGAUAACCGCAUCAGGUCUCCUAGGUUAGCAGCCCUGGUCUCUAGAAUAAGGUAGAUUAUGGAAGUCGGCAAAAUGGAUCCGUAACUUCGAUAAGGAUUUCACUGAGGGCCGGGCGGUUAGCUGCCCCGCGCCGCGGUCUUGCCUUUCCUGCGGUCUCCAUCUCGGUCCGCGCUUUGGCUUUUCCUGCGCCGCGGGUCGCGUCCGCGAUGAACGCCAGCUCAGAACUGGAGCGGACAAGGGAACCGACUGUUUAAUUAAAACCAAGCAUUGCGAUGGCGCCGACGCGUGUUGACGCAAUGUGAUUUCUGCCCAGUGCUCUGAAUGUCAACGUGAUGAAAUUCAACCAAGCGCGGGUAAACGGCGGAGUAAAUAUGACUCUCUUAAGGUAGCCAAAUGCCUCGUCAUCUAAUUAGUGACGCGCAUGAAUGGAUUAACGAGAUUCCCACUGUCCCUAUCUGCCAUCUAGCGAACCCACAGCCAAGGAACGGGCUUGGCAAAUCAGCGGGGAAAGAAGACCCUGUUGAGCUUCACUCUAGUCCGGCUUUGUAGAGACGACUUGAGGGGUGUAGGAUAGGUGGGAGGCCCUGCCGCCGGUGAAAUACCACUACCCUUGAUGUUGUCUUGCUUUAUUCCGUAAUGAAAGGCCUUCUCGCCUUGAUUCUUCCGCGGAAGACAUAGCCAGGUGGGGAGUUUGGCUGGGGCGGUACAUCUGUUAAAAGAUAACGCAGGUGUCCAAGGCGAACUCAGUGAGGACAGAAAUCUCACGUGGACCAAAAGGGGAAAAGUUCGCUUGAUUUUGAUUUUCCAAAAAAUACAAACUGUGUAAGCAUACCUAUCGAUCCUUUGAGCCCGCGAGCAUUGCGCCAGAGGUGUCAGAAAAGUUACCACAGGGAUAACUGGCUUGUAGCCAAGCGUUCAUAUGCGACGUUGCUUUGAUCCUUCGAUGUCGGCUCUUCCUAUCAUUGAGAUGCAGAAGUCUCAAAGUGUCGGAUUGUUCACCCGCUAAUAGGGAACGUGAGCUGGGUUUAGAACCGUCGUGAGACAGGUUAGUUUUACCUUACUGAUGACUGCGCCGCGACAGUAAUUCCACCAGUACGAGAGGAACAGUGGAUUCGGAUACUUGGUUAAUGCGGUUGGCUGACCAGCAGUGCCGCGAAGCUACCAUCCGUUGGAUAAUGACUGAACGCCUCUAAGUCAGAAUCCAUGCUGGACCGUCGCCACCCACCGCUGGCGCGCGUUCGCGCCCGCAUAUGCUGCCCAGCAUCCUCGCCCGCAUCGGCUCUGUUCGAAGCACAAUUUUCAGCGCGCCAGCGAUGCAUCCUCCGCAGACGACCUUGACGCACCCGGGUAUUGUAAGCGCGAGAGUGGGCUUGACUCACGAUCCGCUGAGGUUCAGCCCGGCGUGCUUGAUGUGUAUCACACACAACACUAUUCGGGGUUAUCUAACGAGCAACUCCGUUGCCGCGUGCAACGAUUUAGCACGAGCAAAGCGAAGUGCAAACGAGACGUAGUCGAGUUACCAGGAGACUUGGCGACUGGUCGUCACAAGCAACCUUGGUUGCGCAGUGACUACAACCACAACACUCUCUGGCGAAGCCAUUAACCAAACAUUAAAUGAGUCGGCGAAGCCAGCCGUCUCUAAGGUGCUUUUAGUGAACGAGUGUCAACGAGUCGUGAUUUUGGGCGCAGCGGAGCGAGCAUCCAAUAAACCGGAUUGAGGUGUGACUAACUGUGGAUUAUGUGUAUUCGGCGCAGCCAGCCGUAUCUAGCAACCAUCUCACGUACGAGCUAUGCGAGGUGAGAUGUAACAGCGAGUGCCAACGAGUCGUGAUUUUGGGCGCAGCGGAGCGAGCAUCCAAUAAACCGGAUUGAGGUGUGACUAACUGUGGAUUAUGUGUAUUCGGCGCAGCCAGGUGUAUCUAGCAACCAUCUCACGUACGAGCAGGGCGAGUCGAGGAAUAAGGGCGCAGCGAAGCGAGCAUCCAAUAAAGCGCACAAAGAUGAUGAGGGUAACCGCGGAUCAAGGUCCUAACAAGGCCUCUCAAGCAGCGGUGACCGACCGUGUCACCAGCAACGUCCGUUGCCGCGACAAGGCGUCUCUCACGAGCAACCCAGGUUGCGAAGUGAUGCCAUAUCUGACGAGCCAAGCGAGGAAUAAGGGCGGAACGCAGUGGAGCCUAUAAAUCAGGAGACAUAGGUGCGAUCAAGGUGAUUUAGGGUGGCGGAGCCACUCACUAAGCCUACAGAAGGCGCUGCUGAGUGAAGGCGUCACACGGUGGCGGAGCCACAUACUACGCCAAGGCGGAGGCCACGCACUAUGACAAUUUUAUACGUAUAACAGCUACCGGGGUGCCCGCCACGCGGGCCCCACCGCCCGGCUGCCUCGGUCCCCCGCUCAGUCGCCGUCGGUGCCGCCAGGCCCGGCGCGGCUCCCCUCCGCAGCCACCAUACAGGUACGUGUGGGAUACUCAUCUGUGUGGUGUAUUGCCGUUAUUGUGUGUGUUACUACAUCAUUGAUUGUGUUGUUGCUCCGCUGUGUCUAGGCACUUCACUGGGUGUGUUUUUACUUCACGGCGAUUGUGUGGUUCUAUAUCACUGUGCCCUUGUUCAUUUUUAUGCGUGCCGAGAUGACAACCUCUUCUCCUUCCGCUGACGCGUGAUGUCUCCUCUAAGAAGCGCUGAGCACGCCGUGAUGACACCUCUGUCAAUCCCCCGAACCCUGACGAAAACACACACUGAUCACGUGCGCAGACCUACAUGGACUCAGCGGCAACGCUCACUCAUGCCCACGCAGAUGGUACAACUCACAGCGGAGGUUAUGAAGUCUCAACAGCACGAGGCAUUGUAUGCCUGUGCUGCGGACAAGAUAACUCACGGUGAUUCUGCGGACAACAAGAUAAAUCACGGUGAUUCUGCGGACAACAAGAUAACUCACGGUGAUUCUGCGGACAACACAAGACGCGUCGUCACCAUCAACCUGUAUAAUAUCAUAUCAUAUCAUAUCGCAUUUGUAUUGCUAGUUCAUGUGUACGUGGUUUUUACAACAGUGCGUGACCACCGUCUGACUGUCGUCUCAUGCAUUUUAGCGGUGGGUGGUAUUUUCAUGGCUGUGUUCUUAUUGAGCGAUUGCUAGUCUCCUUGCUGGUUCUAGAGGAUAAACUACCCGUGAGUGUGAUAGGUUAACCGAGGACUGCGAUCGACAGGCCCAGCACGAACGCUGCGUUCAGGCAGGUGCAGAGCGCGUCGAAGCCGCUGGCUGUCUUCUCGCGAAGGUUGCUUUUGCCGUCGCCCUCCCCAGCCGGUUCAGUCGCGUUGACGGGCGCCUCGAGACCCUCCUUGCUUUUAUUGGACGCAGCGGACGCUGAGGGGUUACCUUCUUCCUUGCUGGCAGGAACAUCACCACUUGGAGCGGCGGUUACAACACUUGGCGCUGUCGUGACCUUGAGGGCACUGGGCGUUUUGUCCACACUCAUUCUACUUCCAGGCUGUUCGGCACUCAGCGCUGCAGCUUUCUCCAAGCCACUUGACGUGGUCGAAGGCAUGUCAACAGUUGGCUCCGCGGUCGCCAUAUUCUCAGUGGCCAGCUUAUCGGUAGGAUACUGUUCACCGGCUGCCUCACGUACAUCCGUGGAAGCAUCACCUUCGACGCCUGGUACGGCGGUCUCCGCACUGCUUGCACUAGCAUCACCGGCACCCGGCGAAGCGGCAUCCUCGACUGACCCCGCUGGUGGCGUGGUAGCUCCACGUGACUCUUCACUACUUCCCGAAUCACCGCCGGCGAGGCUAAUCAGUCGGUCUGCAACGUGGCUCAUCAUUUCGCGUCUGUAACCGAUGCUUUCGAACGAGGCGCCCAGCAGGAUUCCAUUAUGAAUGUCCGCUCUGAGCUCGAAGUACGCGUGCCACAGCUGCUCUCUGUCAGCCCCGGAUUCAGACGCUACAUUGCCCUUCACAAACCUCAGGAGCCCACGCACUCGCUCCGCAUUCGUGAUCAAGUCACCGAACUGAUUCAAAACCAGGUGCAUCUCAUCCUUAAGGUCAUCGUACCUUGCGCGCAUACUUUCGAAGACAGUUGAAGAGGCGGCAGAAGGGGUGAUGGAGGCCAAGGCUUUGCCCACUUUGGCCAUGUCCAUCGACACCGAUCCACGCAAUUUCACGUAGGGACCCAGGUACCUAUCCAGGGCCCGGCACGAUUCCGACACAAGGCGCGCCAUCUCGUUCAGAAGUUCUUCGGGCGCAUGCACCUGGGUCUUGGCAUCUUUUGGCACGAACGUGCGGUGCAGGUCCGCGUAGAAGUCAAGCAUGAGUCCGCGCACGGCCGACGUGUUGGCAAAGACACGGUGCGCUCUUUUCGAAAUACAAGAGCCUACGUAUUCGGAUAUGUACUCAUUUGCAGACGACGUAAGGUGCCUUUUGCUGUAGGCGUCAAUCUCAUCAAUCUUUGACUUCGACCCGUCAAUCACACCACGGAUCACGUCAGUGGUGACCUGCAGUUUAGCCAACCCGCUUCGCAAAUCCCCGCUACUGGAGUCACGCGGAAUGAGUUCCCCAGAGGAUACAACCGUUAAGUUAGCUCGCACAUAUUUGGUAUCCUUCAUCACAUCCCUCAACAGGCUUUUGGUGUAGACAACGAGCAGCGUCAGCUCCGCGUGGCUGGCGUUGUGCGGCAGUGUCGGAUCGAAGUGGUCCAAUACGGCUUCGUCAGUGACCUCGGGUGCUGCCGCAUCGGAAUUGGCCACCGCGGCUUUCGCCAUGGACUCGCGCAGGAGGUUUAUCUUCGCCUCGAACUCAUUGCGUUCUUCCUCAGUCAUGACCCGGUGUGGGAGCACAUCCGUCAGGAUGCUGGCAAUCUUGU
Molecule: ribosomal RNA, 5201 nt
Organism: Babesia ovata
Lineage: Eukaryota; Apicomplexa; Aconoidasida; Piroplasmida; Babesiidae
Source: RefSeq, a predicted model, not a curated record